GACGAACGCUGGCGGCGUGCUUAACACAUGCAAGUCGAACGGAAAGGCCCUGCUUUUUUGGGGUGCUCGAGUGGCGAACGGGUGAGUAACACGUGAGUAACCUGCCCUUGACUUUGGGAUAACUUCAGGAAACUGGGGCUAAUACCUGAUAGGAGCUCCUGCUGCAUGGUGGGGGGUGGAGAGUUUCGGCGGUUGGGGAUGGACUCGCGGCUUAUCAGCUUGUUGGUGGGGUAGUGGCUUACCAAGGCUUUGACGGGUAGCCGGCCUGAGAGGGUGACAGGCCACAUUGGGACUGAGAUACGGCCCAGACUGCUACGGGAGGCAGCAGUGGGGAACAUUGCACAAUGGGCGGCAGCCUGAUGCAGCAACGCCGCGUGCGGGAUGACGGCCUUCGGGUUGUAAACCGCUUUCGCCUGUGACGAAGAGUGAGUGACGGUAAUGGGUAAAGAAGCACCGGCUAACUACGUG
This 468-nucleotide ribosomal RNA is filed under the name uncultured bacterium. Its description in RNAcentral is "partial 16S ribosomal RNA". It matches the Rfam family "Bacterial small subunit ribosomal RNA", at positions 28 to 507 of the family's 1533-position model. The record is from RNAcentral.